Molecule: unclassified non-coding RNA, 299 nt
Filed under: rhizosphere metagenome
Description: partial ribosomal RNA internal transcribed spacer region
Source: RNAcentral
GUAGGUGAACCUGCGGAAGGAUCAUUAACACGUAUCCAACGUUAAACCCCCGUGCAUUUUAACCCUGCUCUCUUCGCCUUGACAAAGCAAUCUCUGGUAAAUCACGCGAACAGUUUGGAGCAAUUAGACUUGGUUUCCGCAAGGAUAACUGAUACUUACUCAGAUCGUUGACCCUCACGGUCAACGGACAGGUCUCUGGGCUUACGCCCCAUAUUAACCCCCAAUGUAGGUGAAAGUAGUGCUGCGUAAAGUAGGCACACAAAAACGAACAACUGUUAACAAUGGAUAUCUUGGUUCUG